UUUAAUAAACCGGUUAAGUAGAGUUAGUAGAUAAGUAACGGUCACUCUUAGAGAGUAGUAGUAGUAGUAAGAAGGGUGGUCGUUACAAAGAGCCCUUAGUAGGAGGGUACUAAAUUAUCUUACCCCUCCGAGGUCACGUUUUAAGUGAUCUAAAUAAGGUGAUGGAGCUUAGGCCCUAAAACAAGCGUUUCUUGGCAGGAUACAAUGUUUAGAAGGCUUGAGGAUAAUGGAGUAAUUUCAGAACUUGAUUGACCCAUUAACUUGGCACAUCUCACUUGAUAAAGGGAAAGAAAAGAUAUAGUGAAGGAAGGCGACAAGAAGAU
Long non-coding RNA from Zingiber officinale, 323 nucleotides. RefSeq lists it as uncharacterized. Lineage: Eukaryota; Viridiplantae; Streptophyta; Magnoliopsida; Zingiberales; Zingiberaceae. The record is from RefSeq and is a predicted model, not a curated record. The transcript has 3 exons.